AAAAAAAAAAAUCUGCCUCCAGGAAUCAAACUUUAUAGGCGGCAGAGAUUUUCUCCUACCUGUUUAGGAGGAUUAACCAUUUCUGGGCCCAAUGUGGGGAAAUGGAACUAAGGUGAGAAAAGUGGAAUUCAGAGAAACUGAGUAACUGGGCCAAAGAUCUUACAUCUAAUAAAUGGCUCCAGAGAGGGAAGAUGGACUGGAAAAGGAGCUAAAGAUUGAUCAUGCUUACAUGAUGAAGCCGCCAUUAAAAUGCCAACAGUGUGGGGUUCAGAGAGCUCCCAGGUUGGUGAACAUGUUGAUAGACUGGGAGGGUGAAACACCCCAACUCCAUGAGGCUUGAAGCUCCUGUGCUCAGCACCCUCCAAGAUCUCACCCUAUGUACCUCUUCAUCUGUAUCCUUUAUUUUAUCCUCUAAUAAACUGGUAAAUGUAA
Pipistrellus kuhlii (Kuhl's pipistrelle) is the source of this 432-nucleotide long non-coding RNA. RefSeq lists it as uncharacterized. The record is from RefSeq and is a predicted model, not a curated record. The transcript has 2 exons. NCBI's taxonomy places the organism in Eukaryota, Metazoa, Chordata, Mammalia, Chiroptera, Vespertilionidae.